This 1529-nucleotide ribosomal RNA is filed under the name Ruminococcaceae bacterium OttesenSCG-928-N02. RNAcentral's name for it is "bacterial SSU rRNA". It matches the Rfam family "Bacterial small subunit ribosomal RNA". The record is from RNAcentral. Lineage: Bacteria; Bacillati; Bacillota; Clostridia; Eubacteriales; Oscillospiraceae.
UUAACGAAGAGUUUGAUCCUGGCUCAGGACGAACGCUGGCGGCGCGCUUAACACAUGCAAGUCGAACGGAGUACUUUAGCUUGAACCCUUCGGGGGGACGGCUUUAGGACUUAGUGGCGAACGGGUGAGUAACACGUGAGGAACCUGCCUAUCAGAGGGGGACAACAGUUGGAAACGACUGCUAAUACCGCAUAAGACUACACUGUGGCAUCACAGAGUAAUCAAAGGAGAAAUCCGCUGAGAGAUGGCCUCGCGCCCGAUUAGCUAGUUGGUGAGGUAAUGGCUCACCAAGGCGACGAUCGGUAGCCGGACUGAGAGGUUGAACGGCCACAUUGGGACUGAGACACGGCCCAGACUCCUACGGGAGGCAGCAGUGGGGAAUAUUGCACAAUGGGGGAAACCCUGAUGCAGCGACGCCGCGUGAGGGAAGAAGGUAUUCGUAUUGUAAACCUCUGUCUUCGGGGACGAAAAUGACGGUACCCGAAGAGGAAGCACCGGCUAACUACGUGCCAGCAGCCGCGGUAAAACGUAGGGUGCGAGCGUUGUCCGGAAUUACUGGGUGUAAAGGGAGCGCAGGCGGAAAGGUAAGUUGGAAGUGAAAACUAUGGGCUCAACCCAUAACGUGCUUUCAAAACUAUCUUUCUUGAGUGGAGUAGAGGCAAAUGGAAUUCCCGGUGUAGCGGUGGAAUGCGUAGAUAUCGGGAGGAACACCAGUGGCGAAGGCGAUUUGCUGGGCUCUAACUGACGCUGAGGCUCGAAAGCAUGGGUAGCAAACAGGAUUAGAUACCCUGGUAGUCCAUGCCGUAAACGAUGAUUACUAGGUGUGGGGGGGUUAAACCUUCCGUGCCGGAGUUAACACAAUAAGUAAUCCACCUGGGGAGUACGGCCGCAAGGCUGAAACUCAAAGGAAUUGACGGGGGCCCGCACAAGCAGUGGAGUAUGUGGUUUAAUUCGAAGCAACGCGAAGAACCUUACCAGGUCUUGACAUCGUGCGCAUACCUAAGAGAUUAGGGAAGCCCUACGGGGCGCAUAGACAGGUGGUGCAUGGUCGUCGUCAGCUCGUGUCGUGAGAUGUUGGGUUAAGUCCCGCAACGAGCGCAACCCUUACGGAUAGUUACUACGCGAAGAGGACUCUAUCUGGACUGCCGUUGACAAAACGGAGGAAGGUGGGGACGACGUCAGAUCAUCAUGCCCUUUAUGACCUGGGCUACACACGUACUACAAUGGCAAUUAACACAGAGAAGCGAAAGAGCGAUCUGGAGCAAACCUCACAAAAAUUGUCUCAGUUCGGAUCGCAGGCUGCAACUCGCCUGCGUGAAGUUGGAAUUGCUAGUAAUCGCGGAUCAGCAUGCCGCGGUGAAUACGUUCCCGGGCCUUGUACACACCGCCCGUCACACCAUGAGAGCCGGGGGGACCCGAAGUCAGUAGCCUAACCCUUGCGGAGGGCGCUGCCGAAGGUAAAACUGGUGAUUGGGGUGAAGUCGUAACAAGGUAGCCGUAUCGGAAGGUGCGGCUGGAUCACCUCCUUU